GCGACUAUAGUAUACUGGUUAUUACCUCCGCCUGUGGAGCGGGAGAAGGGAGUUCAAUUCUCCCUAGUCGCC
RNAcentral lists this transfer RNA (72 nucleotides) under Candidatus Woesearchaeota archaeon. RNAcentral describes it as "tRNA-His". It matches the Rfam family "tRNA". From Rfam's summary of the family: Transfer RNA (tRNA) molecules are approximately 80 nucleotides in length. Their secondary structure includes four short double-helical elements and three loops (D, anti-codon, and T loops). The record is from RNAcentral. Lineage: Archaea; Nanobdellati; Candidatus Woesearchaeota.